AUUGAACGCUGGCGGCAUGCCUUACACAUACAAGUCGAACGGUAACAGGUCUUCGGAUGCUGACGAGUGGCGAACGGGUGAGUAAUACAUCGGAACGUGCCCGAUCGUGGGGGAUAACGGAGCGAAAGCUUUGCUAAUACCGCAUACGAUCUACGGAUGAAAGCAGGGGACCGCAAGGCCUUGCGCGGACGGAGCGGCCGAUGGCAGAUUAGGUAGUUGGUGGGAUAAAAGCUUACCAAGCCGACGAUCUGUAGCUGGUCUGAGAGGACGACCAGCCACACUGGGACUGAGACACGGCCCAGACUCCUACGGGAGGCAGCAGUGGGGAAUUUUGGACAAUGGGCGAAAGCCUGAUCCAGCCAUGCCGCGUGCAGGAUGAAGGCCUUCGGGUUGUAAACUGCUUUUGCACGGAACGAAAAGACUCUUUCUAAUAAAGAGGGUCCAUGACGGUACCGUAAGAAUAAGCACCGGCUAACUACGUG
RNAcentral lists this ribosomal RNA (482 nucleotides) under uncultured bacterium. Its description in RNAcentral is "partial 16S ribosomal RNA". It matches the Rfam family "Bacterial small subunit ribosomal RNA", at positions 30 to 507 of the family's 1533-position model. The record is from RNAcentral.